AUUGAACGCUAGCGGUAUGCUUAACACAUGCAAGUCGAACGGUAACAGGCCCAGCUUGCUGGGUGCUGACGAGUGGCGGACGGGUGAGUAACGCGUAGGAAUCUACCUUAAAGUGGGGGAUAACCUGAGGAAACUCAGGCUAAUACCGCAUGUGCCUUAAGAGGUAAAGCAGGGGAUCUUCGGACCUUGUGCUUUAAGAUGAGCCUGCGUCGGAUUAGCUUGUUGGUGGGGUAAAGGCCUACCAAGGCGACGAUCCGUAGCUGGUCUGAGAGGAUGAUCAGCCACACUGGGACUGAGACACGGCCCAGACUCCUACGGGAGGCAGCAGUGGGGAAUAUUGGACAAUGGGCGAAAGCCUGAUCCAGCAAUACCGCGUGUGUGAAGAAGGCCUGAGGGUUGUAAAGCACUUUCAGUAGGAGGAAGGACUUAGUAUUAAUACUGCUAAGUAUUGACGUUACCUACAGAAGAAGCACCGGCUAACUC
This 483-nucleotide ribosomal RNA is filed under the name uncultured bacterium. RNAcentral's name for it is "bacterial SSU rRNA". It matches the Rfam family "Bacterial small subunit ribosomal RNA", at positions 30 to 503 of the family's 1533-position model. The record is from RNAcentral.